Molecule: ribosomal RNA, 1396 nt
Filed under: metagenome
Description: bacterial LSU rRNA
Rfam family: Bacterial large subunit ribosomal RNA
Source: RNAcentral
GACCGGUACAAGCGGGGUAGGUGUACAAUAGGCAAAUCCGUUGUAUGAUCCGAAGACGUGAUGUGGAGCGAAAUAAAGUAGUGAAGCGUGUGAGCCAUGUGCCGAGAAAAGCUGCUAUUGUGUAAUGCGUGCCCGUACCGUAAACCGACACAGGUGGAUGAGGAGAGAAUCCUAAGGCCGACGGAAGAAGCAUUGUUAAGGAAUUCGGCAAAAUGACCCCGUAACUUCGGGAGAAGGGGUGCCUGCGAGAGCAGGCCGCAGAGAAUAGGCUCAAGCAACUGUUUAGCAAAAACACAGGUCUAUGCGAAACCGAAAGGUGAAGUAUAUGGGCUGACGCCUGCCCGGUGCUGGAAGGUUAAGAGGAGAGGUUAGCGUAAGCGAAGCUUUGAAUUUAAGCCCCAGUAAACGGCGGCCGUAACGAUAACGGUCCUAAGGUAGCGAAAUUCCUUGUCGGGUAAGUUCCGACCCGCACGAAAGGCGUAAUGAUUUGAGCACUGUCUCGACAAUGCAUCCGGUGAAAUUGAAGUACCAGUGAAGAUGCUGGUUACCCGCGCCAGGACGGAAAGACCCCAUGGAGCUUUACUCCAGUUUGAUACUGGGAUUCGGUACUGCAUGUACAGGAUAGGUGGGAGACGGAGAAGGAUGGACGCCAGUCUGUCCGGAGUCGCUGUUGGGAUACCACCCCUGUAGUACUGGGUUUCCAACCAGUUGCCAUGAUCUGGUGAUGGGACAAUGUCAGGCGGGGAGUUUGACUGGGGCGGUCGCCUCCGAAAGGGUAUCGGAGGCGCUCAAAGGUUCCCUCAGAAUGGUUGGAAACCAUUUGAAGAGUGCAAAGGCAGAAGGGAGCUUGACUGCGACACCGACGGGUGGAGCAGGUACGAAAGUAGGACUUAGUGAUCCGGUGGUAUAAAGUGGGAUUGCCAUCGCUCAACGGAUAAAAGCUACCCUGGGAUAACAGGCUUAUCACUCCCAAGAGUUCACAUCGACGGAGUGGUUUGGCCCCUAUGUCGGCUCAUCGCAUCCUGGGGCUGUAGCAGGUCCCAAGGGUUGGGCUGUUCGCCCAUUAAAGCGGUACGCGAGCUGGGUUCAGAACGUCGUGAGACAGUUCGGUCCCUAUCCGGCGCGGGCGGAGGAUAUUUGAGAGGAGCUGUCCUUAGUACGAGAGGACCGGGAUGGACGGAUCACUGGUGUAUCUGUUGUCGACCAACGGCAUGGCAGAGUAGCCAAGUCUGGAAGGGAUAAACGCUGAAGGCAUCUAAGCGUGAAGCCCCCCUCAAGAUGAGAUAUCCCUCCUUCGGGAGUAAGACCCCUUGAAGACUACAAGGUAGAUAGGGCAGAGGUGGAAGCAUGGCAACAUGUGGAGCUGACUGUUACUAAUAGGUCGAGGGCUUAAGAA